Non-coding RNA from Mycena belliarum, 99 nucleotides. The record is from the annotation of a GenBank genome assembly. Lineage: Eukaryota; Fungi; Basidiomycota; Agaricomycetes; Agaricales; Mycenaceae.
GCUUCCCUGGCUCAGUUGGUUAGAGCGUCAGUCUCAUAAUAAUGCGUAAAAGUGGUUUACUUAAUCUGAAGGUCGUGAGUUCGACCCUCACGGGGAGCA